UACGGAGGGGGCUAGCGUUGUUCGGAAUUACUGGGCGUAAAGCGCACGUAGGCGGAUUUGUAAGUCAGGGGUGAAAUCACGGGGCUCAACCUCGGAACUGCCUGUGAUACUGCAAAUCUCGAGUCCGGAAGAGGUGAGUGGAAUUCCUAGUGUAGAGGUGAAAUUCGUAGAUAUUAGGAAGAACACCAGUGGCGAAGGCGGCUCACUGGUCCGGUACUGACGCUGAGGUGCGAAAGCGUGGGGAGCAAACAGG
RNAcentral lists this ribosomal RNA (253 nucleotides) under uncultured bacterium. Its description in RNAcentral is "partial 16S ribosomal RNA". It matches the Rfam family "Bacterial small subunit ribosomal RNA", at positions 524 to 776 of the family's 1533-position model. The record is from RNAcentral.